AUAAGCAAAAUAAGGGCGUAUGGGGAAUGCCUAGGCUCUCAGAGGCGAAGAAGGACGUGAUAAGCUGCGAAAAGCUACGGGGAUUGGCACACACGAAUUGAUCCGUAGAUAUCCGAAUGGGGCAACCCAAUAUGUUGAAGACAUAUUAUCCUGUAUAGGAGGCGAACCCGCUGAACUGAAACAUCUAAGUAGGCGGAGGAGAAGAAAACAAAAGUGAUUCCGUAAGUAGUGGCGAGCGAACGCGGAAUAGCCCAAACCAAAGUUGUUACGGCAAUUUUGGGGUUGUAGGACCACGACAUUUCUUGCGGCUUGAAUUAGAAAUACCUGGAAAGGUAUACCAAAGAGGGUGACAGUCCCGUAUAAGUAAGAAAAGAUAAGAAUAGUGGUAUCCUGAGUAGGUCGGGGCACGUGAAACCCUGAUUGAAACUGGCGGGACCAUCCGCUAAGGCUAAAUACUCCUGAGAGACCGAUAGUGAACCAGUACCGUGAGGGAAAGGUGAAAAGAACCGUGAAUAACGGAGUGAAAAAGAUCCUGAAACCAUACGCCUACAAGCGGUCGGAGCCCCUUUGUGGGGUGACGGCGUGCCUUUUGCAUAAUGAGCCUACGAGUUACCGUUGCUGGCAAGGAUAAGGACUUCAGGUCUGGAUCNACCGUUGCUGGCAAGGAUAAGGACUUCAGGUCUGGAUCCGUAGCGAAAGCGAGUCUGAAUAGGGCGCUUUAGUCAGUAGUGGUAGACGCGAAACCGUGUGAUCUACCCAUGGGCAGGUUGAAGUUUAGGUAACACUAAAUGGAGGACCGAACCGUUUAACGCUGAAAAGUUUUCGGAUGACCUGUGGGUAGGGGUGAAAGGCCAAUCAAACUCGGAAAUAGCUCGUACUCCCCGAAAUGCAUUUAGGUGCAGCGAUGAUCAUAGUUACUUAGAGGUAGAGCUACUGAUUGGAUGCGGGGGCUUCACCGCCUACCAAUUCCUGACAAACUCCGAAUGCUAAUUAAUGAUAAUCAUCAGUGAGGGCAUGGGUGCUAAGGUCCAUGUCCGAGAGGGAAAGAACCCAGACCAUCAGCUAAGGUCCCCAAAUGUAUGCUAAGUUGAAAAAACGCGGUUUGAUUGCCCAGACAGCUAGGAUGUUGGCUUGGAAGCAGCCAUUCAUUUAAAGAGUGCGUAACAGCUCACUAGUCGAGCGAUCGAGCAUGGAUAAUAAUCGGGCAUAAGUAUACUACCGAAGCUAUGGAUUUACGUUUUAUAACGUGAGUGGUAGGGGAGCAUUCUAUCGGCAGAGAAGGUGAUUUGUGAGAAUUGCUGGAGCUUAUAGAAAAGAAAAUGUAGGCAUAAGUAACGAUAAGGGGUGCGAGAAACACCCCCGCCGUAAGACUAAGGAUUCCUGAGCUAUGCUAAUCAGCUUAGGGUUAGUCGGGACCUAAGGCACACCCGAAGGGGGACGUCGAUGGCCAACGGGUUAAUAUUCCCGUACUACUUAUAACAGUGAUGGAGUGACACAGUGAUGAAAGCACCGCGAACUGACGGAAUAGUUCGUUGAAGCACGUACCUAUAGGUUUGAUAGUAAAAUGCGUCAGACUUGGAGAAAUGCGAUAGUACUCAGCGUCUACGGACAAAGAGAUAGUGUGCCUAAGGGCUGUCAAGAAAAGCUUCUAAACAUAGGUUAUAAGUACCCGUACCGUAAACCGACACAGGUAGUCGAGGAGAGUAUCCUAAGGCGCUCGAGAGAUUCAUGGCUAAGGAACUAGGCAAAAUAGACCUGUAACUUCGGGAGAAAGGUCGCCAGCGCAAGCUGGCCGCAGUGAAGAGGUCCAGGCGACUGUUUAUCAAAAACACAGGGCUCUGCAAAAUCGUAAGAUGACGUAUAGGGCCUGACACCUGCCCGGUGCUGGAAGGUUAAGAGGAGAUGUUAUCGAUGAGUAAUUGUUGAGAAGCAUUGAAUUGAAGCCCCAGUAAACGGCGGCCGUAACUAUAACGGUCCUAAGGUAGCGAAAUUCCUUGUCGGGUAAGUUCCGACCUGCACGAAUGGUGUAACGAUCUGGACACUGUCUCAGCCAUGAGCUCGGUGAAAUUGUAGUAUCGGUGAAGAUGCCGAUUACCCGCAGUGGGACGAAAAGACCCUGUGCACCUUUACUAUAGCUUAGUAUUGUUCUCGGAUAAGUGAUGUGUAGGAUAGGUGGGAGACUGUGAAAUGGCGUCGCUAGGCGUUGUGGAGUCAUUGUUGAAAUACCACCCUUUGCUUAUUUGAGAUCUAACUCCGCAAUUGUGGAGGACAUUGCUUGGUGGGUAGUUUGACUGGGGUGGUCGCCUCCAAAAGAGUAACGGAGGCUUCUAAAGGUUCCCUCAGCACGCUUGGUAACCGUGCGUAGAGUGCAAUGGUAUAAGGGAGCUUGACUGAGAGACUAACAAGUCGACCAGGUACGAAAGUAGAGCAUAGUGAUCCGGUGGUUCCGCAUGGAAGGGCCAUCGCUCAAAGGAUAAAAGGUACGCCGGGGAUAACAGGCUGAUCUCCCCCAAGAGCUCAUAUCGACGGGGGGGUUUGGCACCUCGAUGUCGGCUCGUCACAUCCUGGGGCUGGAGAAGGUCCCAAGGGUUGGGCUGUUCGCCCAUUAAAGUGGCACGCGAGCUGGGUUCAGAACGUCGUGAGACAGUUCGGUCUCUAUCUACUGUGGGCGUUAGAAAUUUGAGUGGAUCUGAUUCUAGUACGAGAGGACCGAAUUGGACCAACCUCUAGUGCAUCUGUUGUCUCGCCAGGGGCAUCGCAGAGUAGCUACGUUGGGCAGGGAUAAGCGCUGAAAGCAUAUAAGUGCGAAACCCACCACAAGAUGAGAUUUCUUUAAAGGGCCGUGGGAGAUUACCACGUUGAUAGGCUAUAGAUGUAAAGGCAGUAAUGUCAUAGUCGAGUAGUACUAAUAGCCCGUAAGCUUAUGUGAAU
Molecule: ribosomal RNA, 2931 nt
Filed under: Myroides albus
Lineage: Bacteria; Pseudomonadati; Bacteroidota; Flavobacteriia; Flavobacteriales; Flavobacteriaceae
Description: Myroides sp. BIT-d1 23S ribosomal RNA
Rfam family: Bacterial large subunit ribosomal RNA
Source: RNAcentral